Molecule: ribosomal RNA, 448 nt
Filed under: uncultured bacterium
Lineage: Bacteria
Description: bacterial SSU rRNA
Rfam family: Bacterial small subunit ribosomal RNA
Source: RNAcentral
UUCCAGACUCCUACGGGAGGCAGCAGUGGGGAAUAUUGCACAAUGGGGGAAACCCUGAUGCAGCGGCGCCGCGUGAGCGAUGAAGUAUUUCGGUAUGUAAAGCUCUAUCAGCAGGGAAGAAGAUGACGGUACCUGACUAAGAAGCCCCGGCUAACUACGUGCCAGCAGCCGCGGUAAUACGUAGGGGGCAAGCGUUAUCCGGAUUUACUGGGUGUAAAGGGAGCGUAGACGGCGAUGCAAGCCAGAUGUGAAAGCCCGGGGCUCAACCCCGGGACUGCAUUUGGAACUGUGUGGCCGGAGUGUCGGAGAGGCAGGCGGAAUUCCUAGUGUAGCGGUGAAAUGCGUAGAUAUUAGGAGGAACACCAGUGGCGAAGGCGGCCUGCUGGACGAUGACUGACGUUGAGGCUCGAAAGCGUGGGGAGCAAACAGGAUUAGAUACCCCUGUAUG